AAGCCGCAAAGGUGCGCGAAGAAGACCGCAAACCCGGUCAGGCCCGGAAGGGAGCAGCCGUAAGCGGCAACUUCUUGUGUUGCACCAAAGCGGCCCUUU
RNAcentral lists this signal recognition particle RNA (99 nucleotides) under Candidatus Dadabacteria bacterium. Its description in RNAcentral is "signal recognition particle sRNA small type". The stretch from base 8 to 92 matches the Rfam family "Bacterial small signal recognition particle RNA". Rfam says of the family: The signal recognition particle (SRP) is a universally conserved ribonucleoprotein involved in the co-translational targeting of proteins to membranes. Lineage: Bacteria; Pseudomonadati; Thermodesulfobacteriota; Candidatus Dadabacteria. The record is from RNAcentral.